RNAcentral lists this unclassified non-coding RNA (391 nucleotides) under fungal sp. RNAcentral describes it as "partial internal transcribed spacer region". The stretch from base 1 to 46 matches the Rfam family "Eukaryotic small subunit ribosomal RNA", at positions 1786 to 1831 of the family's 1831-position model. Lineage: Eukaryota; Fungi. The record is from RNAcentral.
AAGUCGUAACAAGGUUUCCGUUGGUGAACCUGCAGAAGGAUCAUUAACACGUAUCCAAACGUUAAAACCCCCCCCGUGAACCUUCAUCUUGCUCUUGUAAUCCGCAUAGUUCGCAAUCUCUGAUAAAUCAUAGCCCGGAAAGUUGUAGUGAUUCGGAGACCUCUGGCUACGUGCGAGCAUUGGAACAGUUACAAUCGAGCGGUAGUUCUAUAGGCAAUGUUUCCCCAAGCAGUCAGUGUCGGAAAGUGUAGUAUAGUCAGUUACACUCGGGCAGGAGCUUUGCCAAAGGGUCCCCAUGCCCCCUAAUAACCCCACAGUUUAAUGUGAAGCUCAAUGUAAUACAUUGGGUAAAAAAACCGAACAACUGUUAACAAUGGAUAUCUUGGUUCUC